This 69-nucleotide transfer RNA is filed under the name Notophthalmus perstriatus (striped newt). Its description in RNAcentral is "tRNA-Trp". It matches the Rfam family "tRNA". From Rfam's summary of the family: Transfer RNA (tRNA) molecules are approximately 80 nucleotides in length. Their secondary structure includes four short double-helical elements and three loops (D, anti-codon, and T loops). Lineage: Eukaryota; Metazoa; Chordata; Amphibia; Caudata; Salamandridae. The record is from RNAcentral.
AAAGACUUAGGAUAAUAAGACCAAAGGCCUUCAAAGUCUUAAGUAGGAGUUAAAACCUUCUAGUCUUUG